RNAcentral lists this ribosomal RNA (893 nucleotides) under Cryphonectria parasitica (chestnut blight fungus). RNAcentral's name for it is "LSU rRNA". It matches the Rfam family "Eukaryotic large subunit ribosomal RNA", at positions 38 to 959 of the family's 3401-position model. The record is from RNAcentral. Lineage: Eukaryota; Fungi; Ascomycota; Sordariomycetes; Diaporthales; Cryphonectriaceae.
GCAUAUCAAUAAGCGGAGGAAAAGAAACCCACAGGGGAUUGCCCUAGUAACGGCGAAGUGAAGCGGCAACAGCUCAAAUUUGAAAUCUGGCUUCGGCCCGAGUUGUAAUUUGCAGAGGAUGUUUCUGGCGCGGUGCCUUCCGAGUUCUCUGGAACGGGACGCCACAGAGGGUGAGAGCCCCGUAUGGUUGGACACCAAGCCUGUGUGAAACUCCUUCGACGAGUCGAGUAGUUUGGGAAUGCUGCUCAAAAUGGGAGGUAAAUCUCUUCUAAAGCUAAAUACCGGCCAGAGACCGAUAGCGCACAAGUAGAGUGAUCGAAAGAUGAAAAGCACCUUGAAAAGGGGGUUAAACAGUACGUGAAAUUGUUGAAAGGGAAGCGCUUGUGACCAGACUUGCGCCGGGCGGCUCAUCCGGGGUUCUCCCCGGUGCACUCCGCCCGGCUCAGGCCAGCAUCGGUUUUCGUUGGGGGAUAAGAACGGCAGGAACGUGGCCCUCCUUCGGGUGGGUGUUAUAGCCUGCCGUACGAUACCCUGACGGGGACCGAGGUUCGCGCUCCGCAAGGAUGCUGGCGUAAUGGUCAUCAGCGACCCGUCUUGAAACACGGACCAAGGAGUCGUCCAUUAGAGCGAGCGUUUGGGUGUCAAACCCGCACGCGUAAUGAAAGUGAAAUUAGGUGAGAGCUUCGGCGCAUCAUCGACCGAUCCUGAUGUUCUCGGAUGGAUUUGAGUAAGAGUUUUAACGGACGGACCCGAAAGACAGUGAACUAUGCUUGUAUAGGGUGAAGCCAGAGGAAACUCUGGUGGAGGCUCGCAGCGGUUCUGACGUGCAAAUCGAUCGUCAAAUAUGAGCAUGGGGGCGAAAGACUAAUCGAACUGUCUAGUAGCUGGUUACC